UCACAAUUCUCUAUAGAUUUCUCUCUCCUCCUCUGCUAAGCUUGGUCUAUUUUCUCAACUCUUCUUUGUAGAUCUCAACUCUUCAAUGGCGAAUCCAUUUGUUGCUGAGUGUCUUCUCUUUGUGUAGACACUUUAAAUCUCUCUGUGAAGGUUUCCUCAAGAUUUUUGUUUGUUUGGGAUGCAUUGCCGAAGUAUUUCUUCAUGAUUUAAGGCCUGUUUUGGGUCCUUGUACUUCCUGUACUAUGCUUCAACACAAAAACACAAGAGCAGAAAACCCAGCAUUGUUAAUGCAAGUUCCUCCAUUGUUAGUUUGCCCGGAUUAAUGACUUUUGACGACCAACAAAUGGCAUUGGGUUGCGAGUACGUACACAUUUUCUUCUCUUCUAAGGUAAUUCUCGCCAAAUCCAUUACAUUGGCUCAUUGUGGGAUGGUUUGGAUGAGUUGUCGUCAGUUUAUGCCUCCUCUUUUGUUCUCCUUUCUCUAUGACUACAGUUCUUAUGUCCUUCUAUUUUUGGGUGAAUGGCGAUUCUUUUAUUUAUUUUUUUGAACAAUUGCACUUAUGAUAUUAAACUUAAAGGCAAAUACAGAAAUUUCAUUAAUCUCCAAUGUUUCCGAUGUACCAGAUACGUUGUUGAUUGAUAAAUAAAAAUAGUAAUCAUUUCAAGAGUUGGUUGUAUUGUCAAUACAUACUUUUAAAUGCAGUAAGUUUUUACUUACUUCACUAAUAGUUAUCUUUUCUAAGAUGUUCACUAUUUGCACUUAAAUUUAGGAGCUCUUAGCAUUAGAUUUUGUCUUUGAGCUUAAAAUUUGUUUCUCAUAUUUUAUCAUAGUAAAAUGAAGAGGCUAGCUAGAUAUGAUUAUUGAGACAUCAACUGAUUUUCUAAAAUGCUCAAAGAUUAUUCUACUAAAGUUGUGUUUAAAGGUGAAAUGGAUAGGAUUUCAGCAAUAGAGGUUAGAUCCUGUUUUUCUUAUGCCUUUAUCUUUCCUUCAUCAGUAAGUUUAUCUUCUAACUUGAUAGUUUCCCUUUUCACUGUUCAGAGAUUUAUCUUUUUUUUCCACCUGUUUUGUUGUCUAUUGAGAAAGAUAUUAUGUCUGCGUUAUCAUUGAUAAUAGAGUUUAUAAACUCAAGGGUGAGACGGUAAAAGAAUUUGUUUAUUUAAAAUGUUCAAGCAUCUACCAUUGAGGGAGUAAAAUCCUUGGUUUAUUUACAAUUUUUUUUUAUUACUUUAGUUCAACUAUUCUUCUAUUAAAAGCCUAUAGCUUUGUAUCGACGAAAUCUGAAAAGUCCUGUAUACUAAUGCCCUUUCAGAAAUAUCUAUUGUAUGUUUGUAGCGGUGAAGACACGUGUUGUUUCAUUUACUCAUGUCGAACCUAAUUUCUCCUCUCUUUCUCUCAUUGAACCUUCUCAGUUAAAUUCCUUGAUGUUCUUUUCUUUUUUUAUUCCUCCCUUUCUCAUGUACAUUUAGGGACAGUGUUUGUCAUUAUCAAAUAUCAACCUUCCUUUCACAAGGAAAGAUAUGAUAUGGAGCUUUGUGCAUGUCUACUCUAAUAAAUGAUUUUGCUCUGUUAAUAAAUGAUUGGGCUUUUAAAUCUACCAAAUUGAACUUUUUUCCCUCAACAUUUUGCAGGCUGAAUACAGAUCCAACAAAUGUAUUACCUGUUUUUCUUGGAAGCAACAUUUAAAUAUAAACAUCAUCAACAAUGAAGAUGUGAAACUAAAAUUUGCUUACUCUUUUUUGGUGUUUAUGAAGGAGAAAGAACUCAACUUUACAUACAGCAACAUGCAAUUUUUUCCCCAAGCUUUGAUGUUACAGAAGUUCAAAAGAUUAUUAAGAUAUGAGCAAAGAUGACAUGUAUAAGUGGAGAUUAAAGAUGGCUACACUAAAUUGUUUAGUAAGAAUUGAGCAUGUUGUCGUCCCUGUUUCAAGUGCAACUUGAACCAUUUCACUUUGUCUCCGCGAGUAUGAAAAUGAGAGUAUUCACAUGGUGUCCACUUUGUGACUUCACAACGCUCAUCAAAUUUACUUUUCCGAAUUGGUAAAGAGAGAGGUACAUCUAAUGGAUGUAAAAUUAGCUGGCGAGCCUAACCAAGAGUUCAAGACAUGUUGGAAUGGUUCGUAAAUCAUUUCAAGUUGUAUUGUCAUAAAUGCAUGUUGAACUGAAAGUGUAGGCAAUUUUCUAUCUCAAUAUAUGAUGUACUGCCAUGUUGCAUCGAUGUGGCUCUACAUCUGCGAAAAAAAUUCUCAUUUUUUGAGAUCAAAUCUGAAAUCAAUGAUUGUUAGAUUUUACUUGAAUCAUUGUUGGCAUAAGAAUGAGUUAGAUUUUGCUCUCCGAACUGUGGAUAAUAUAGGUUGUAAUAGGCAACUCAAUUGAAAUUCUCUUUCUACUUCUUUUCACGUAAAGAAAUUCUAUGUUUCAUUCAAUUAUGUAAACAAGCACAAGAUUUUUUUUGCUAAUGUUAACUUUAACCAAGAAGGUACACUCUUGAAAUUAAAAAAAAAAAGAACUAAAAAUAAAGAGAUUUUAAUUAAAUAAAUAAAGGUAUACUACAAGUCUACAAGCUUGAAGCUAUGAGGAAAAAAAGCAGGGGAAACAGAAUUUCCCAUUAUUAUUUACAUAAAACUUCCUCAGCUUCAAAAAAAA
Molecule: long non-coding RNA, 2643 nt
Organism: Solanum stenotomum
Lineage: Eukaryota; Viridiplantae; Streptophyta; Magnoliopsida; Solanales; Solanaceae
Exons: 7
Source: RefSeq, a predicted model, not a curated record